Acyrthosiphon pisum (pea aphid) is the source of this 4953-nucleotide RNA transcript. RefSeq lists it as uncharacterized. NCBI's taxonomy places the organism in Eukaryota, Metazoa, Arthropoda, Insecta, Hemiptera, Aphididae. The record is from RefSeq and is a predicted model, not a curated record. The transcript has 14 exons.
UACAUUGUGUUAUUCAUCGCUAACGUUGUUAUUAAAUUAUUGUUGGUAACUAAAAACAUGGUAAAACAUAUUAUUGUGUUAACUUUAUGUCUUAUGACUUAUUUUAUUGGAAAUAUAGAUGCCGGAAAGAAACGUAGAGCCGGUGAGUAUAUUUUAAUUUUUUUCAUUACGUAUUAAGACAAAUCGCUUAUUCGUAUUUAUGGAGAAUCUGGAAACAGAUAAUAACUAUUUGAAUUCACUGAAAUAAGGUUAUUUUAAUAAGAUAGUAAUCAACACAUAUUAUGAAAUAUAAAGUGAUUUUUUAUUACGUUAUAUUUUUAACAGAAUCUAAAAAAUUUCCCAAUAUCUUGCUUGUUUUUUUUCUACACCUAAAUUAAGAUUUAAAAACGCAGCUAGAAACUAUGAGUUAUGGCAUUUGACUAGAGACCGGAUUUUCAUGCAGUAAAAAUCAAAAAAACGUGCAGUUAAUUGCCUAUAUCGUGGAAAAAUGAAUUUUUCGCCUAAAAUCGCUUAAUAUUUCCCAACAUUUUGUAAACAUUCAAAGUACAUUGAUUUAAAGCCUUAAAUUAUACUUUAUUUAUCCAGUUUUUUACUCUAUUACAGGAUAAGCAAUUAAAAUUAAAAAAAAAAAAAUUUAAUAAAUAAUUAACAGAUUGAUAAGAAUAUACACAUUGUGUAAAAAAACCAUACCAGCAGAGUUAAGCUAUUUCAUUUUAAUUUUAACAAUUAUAAAUACAUAAACAUAUUUUAAUUUUUUAUUGAGUUUAAAUGUACAAUGUUAUACAUUUCAUAAAAACAUAUCAAGGGAGUUAAGCUAUUUAAUUUUAAUUUUAACUAUUAUACAUCCAUAACAAAUUAUCUUUUUAAAUUUCGGGUUUCUAACUGGGUUAAUGCCUGGGGAAAAUUUGAAAAAUUUGAUUUUAUAAAAGUCAAUUUAGAAAUUAUUGACGCCGAAGUUAUGACUCUUCAAUUUUUUGAUUUGAUUUCCUUUCACAUCCGACUGAUUUUUCACAAGAAGCUCAGAAGACAGAUUUAAGACAGAACUAAAGUGUUAUUACAAGGUGUUAAUCACCGCUUACGAUGAUAUUAAAAUAUUGUUGGUACCUAUAAACAUGUUAAAACAUAUUAUUGUGUAAACUUUAUGUUUUAUGGCUUAUAUCAUUGGAAAUAUAGAUGGCGAAACGAGUAGUGAGUAUAUUUUAUUUUUUUCAUUACGUAUUAAGAGAAAUCGAUUACCUAUUCGUAUUUAUGGAUAAUCUGAAAACAGAUAAUUACAAUUUGUAUUCAUAGCAAUAGUGUUAUUUUAAUAAAAUAGUAAUCAAAACAUAUUAACGAGAUUUCUUAUUACGUUAUAUUUCUAACAGAAUCUAUAAACUUCCCAAUAUUUUGCUUAUUUUAUUCCUACACCUAAAUUAAGAUUUAAAUAGGAAGCUAGAAGCUAUGAGUUAUGGCUUAGGACUAGAGACCGACUUCCAUUCAGUGAAAAUCAAAAAAGUGUGACAAAAGAUUGUUUCUUACCUGUGUUACAAUGAGCAUCAAUUUGAGAUUUCCUUUCACAUCCGACUGAUUUUUCACAAGAAGCACAGAACACAGAUUUCCCAUCAAAUUUUUGGCAUUUUAAAAAUUUGUUUAUACUUCUUUACGUAAAUUAUUCGUAAUGAAACAAUCAUGACACCGACGUGAAUUUCACUAACCAAUUCAAGAAACACUGAAUCAAACACAAAGUCAGACAGAACUAAAGUGUUAUUACUAGGUGUUAAUCACCGCUAACGAUGAUAUUAAAUUUUUGUUGGUACAUAUAAACAUGUUAAAACAUAUUAUUUUGUUAACUUUAUGUUUUAUGGCUUAUAUUAUUGAAAAUAUAGAUGCCACGGGGAAACGUAGAGCUGGUGAGUAUAUUUUUAUUUUUUUCAUUACAUAUUAAGACAAAUCGCUUAUUCGUAUUUAUGGAGAAUCUGAAAACAGGUAAUAACUUUUUGAAUUUAUAGAAAGUUAUAGUGUUAUUUUAAUUAAAUAGUAAUAAAAACAUAAUAUGAAAUAUAACGAGAGUUCUUAUUACGUUAUAUUUCUAACAGAAUCUAUAAACUUGCCCAAUAUUAUGCUUUUUUUUUUCUACACCUAAAUUAAGAUUUAAAAAGGCAGCUAGAAACUAUGAGUUAUGGCAUUUGACUAGAGACCGGAUUUUCAUGCAGUAAAAAUCAAAAAAACGUGCAGUUAAUUGCCUAUAUCGUGGAAAAAUGAAUUUUUCGCCUAAAAUCGCUUAAUAUUUCCCAACAUUUUGUAAACAUUCAAAGUACAUUGAUUUAAAGCCUUAAAUUAUACUUUAUUUAUCCAGUUUUUUACUCUUUAGCAAUUAAUAAUAAAAAAAUAAAAAAUUUAAAAAAUAAUUAAAAGAUCAAGUCAGAAAUGUUUGACGCCGAAGUUAUGACUCUCUUCAAUUUUCUGAUAGUCUGUAACGUAUUUUAGCAACCACUGGUUUAAUUAAAAUAAAUAUAAAUCAAAUAUUAUUUCUUGUUAUAAUGAUUGGAUGCCGUGCUCAUACGCACUUAAUAGUGUUACAAAUAUACACGCGCCUACUGACAGGUUAAAUAAAAAUAUUGUUUCUUACCUGUGUUAUAAUGAGCAUAAAUUUGAGAUUUCCUUUCACAUCUGACUGAUUUUUCACAAGAAGCACAGAACACAGAUUUCCCAUCAAAUUUUUGGCAUUUUAAAAAUUUGUUUAUACUUCUUUACGUAAAUUAUUCUUAAUGAAAUGAUCACGACACUGACAUGAAUUUCCUAACCAAUUCAAGAAACACUGAAUCAAACACAAAGUCAGACAGAACUAAAGUGUUAUUAAUAGGUGUUAAUCACCGCUACCGUUGAUAUUAAAUAAUUGUUGGUACCUAUAAACAUGUUAAAACAUAUUAUUGUGUAAACUUUAUGUUUUAUGGCUUUUAUUAUUGGAAAUAUAGAUGCCGUAUCGCAGGAGGCUUUGCGGGACGUCAAAAACAAUUUGGUAGAUUAGUCAGAUGCUAUAAGCAAAUGUAUUUAAAAGAACUUGUAGUUCAAAAACCUGGUAAAUUUGACAACAUAUUAAGUGAAUUCUAUGAAAAAAGGAAAGUCACAACCGAAAUUGUAAGUGGUGAACGUUUACCAAUUGUUAACGAUACCAAUCUUCAAACAAUUAAAGUAUUUUAUGGUUUUAAAGCUGCAUUCGUGAAUGAAUUCGUUCAGAAUUUAUACAUGCAACCCAGAGUGAAUGCAUUGGCUGAAAAAUACAACAAUAAUGAACUUACUGAUGAACCACUGAAAACGUUUGUUUUUAAUUGGGGGCCUCAAGCUACAGAAGAUUUCUUUAAAUCAGUGUCAGCGUUUUGUUCUGAAUACAGCGCAUUUCCUGAAAAUAUUCAAAAGCAUUAUAUCAAAUAAACAAUAGUAGUGCAAAAAAGUGUUUGAUAGCACCUUGUACCUUAUAUAUACGCAAAUAAACAUACAGCUUCAUAUGAAUAUUGUACUAAUUAAAUUAUGUUGACAUAUGUUACACUAAGAAAUAAAUUAUAUGAUUAUAUAACUUAACUACAUAAGGAUGAUCUAAAUGUACUUUUAAUAAUAAUAAAUAUAAAAUAGAGAAUAUAAUGUAAUAUAAAUUCAUGAAUUUAUUUGUUUUUUUUAAGGAAUGUCUUUAAAUAAAUAAGACUUAAUAGGUAUGGUGUACCUAUUAAUUUUCAGUUAAUGGUAUAUUAUCAUUGACCGAAUGAUUAGUUUCAAAACUUGAAGCAACGUUUAUGAAAGUAUCAUUAAGUAUAUUACAAAACUAGAUUCACUAAUAAUUCCAUCUUUGUUUUUAAUACUAUUUAUUUUAUAUAUAUUUUUAUUUGGUUUUCCUAUGAUCUCAUUUAUAAUAUUCCAAAUUUGUUUGGUAUUGGAUUUAGAGCUUUGUAAUCUGUUUUGAUAGUAUAGUUAUUUGGAUUUUCGCAAUAACAAAUUUAAAAUAUUUCUGUAGGAAAUGUAAUAUUUUUUGAAAUGAGUGUCAAAAGGCCUGGUUCUUAAUUUAGCCGAUAAAUUUCUAAUAUAAAUAAUAAUUCCGGGAGUAAUCCAUUCUUUUAAAUUUGAAAAUUUUUUUGGUCUAUAAUUUGUAUCAGGAGAAGAUGAAUAGUUAAUAAAUUUGCUAAUUUUAGAAUUAAACACUUCAACCAUAGUAUCAAAAUUAUCAUAGUCCAAACAUGAAUGCCAAUUUUCCGUUUUUAUUAGUAAGUUUAAAUGAGCAGUGUCUAUUUUAUCUGGUCUUACAAUUGUUUUUUUAGGAUUUUUAUCAUGAACGAAUAAAUCAGAUAAUAACAAUAUUGCUGCAAAAUGAUCUGUUAAACCUGAUCUCAAAAUAUGAGAAGUAAUUUUAUUGGAUUCUGUUGAAAUAUACGAUUAAUAUUAGUAUUCAAACCAUGUAAACACACGUGCGUGUACAAUGCCGUUUUCUAAUAGAUACUUAUCUAGUUACGAUAUAGCUGUGCAACACUUUUACUAUCGCUUUCUAUAUUCUAUACGGAUACGGGAUGACCUCAACUAAUCAUAUAUAUAGGGCCUUUGAAGUAUGUAAUACUCACUUGCACGUGCAUCGUCAUACAGUGCGUAUACGGUGUGUGUGUAGUGUCACGUUAAAUUGUCCAGUUGUACGUUAUUAUAUAAUAUACUUAUACAUAAUCAUAUUGUCAUGUUAUUAUUCAUUUAUAAUAAUACUAAAGUCAUUAGUCCGUGAAGCUUCACUUUCAACAUAUUCAAUAUUAUUAGUAAAAAUAUGGUCAACUUAGAAUGAUUAGACUCUCUAGCAAUACUAUUUAUGCAUGGUAAAAAACCAUUUUCAGCCAUUAUUACAACUAUUUGAAUUUAUAAUUAUAUUAAUAUUAAUGUCAACGCAAUAAAUACAAAACAUUUUAGAUUCUGAGUGGAACGAUGAAUGUAUUGAUUUUACAAUGA